GCCGGCGACCAUACCACGUUGAAAGCACCGGUUCUCGUCCGGUCACCGCAGCGUCGGGCCCGGUCAGUACUUGUAUGCGUAACCGGUUGGGAAUGCCGGGUAUCGCCGGCC
Molecule: ribosomal RNA, 111 nt
Filed under: Schistosoma haematobium
Lineage: Eukaryota; Metazoa; Platyhelminthes; Trematoda; Strigeidida; Schistosomatidae
Source: RNAcentral